RNAcentral lists this small RNA (88 nucleotides) under Eubacterium sp. CAG:161. RNAcentral describes it as "GA-cis RNA". It matches the Rfam family "GA-cis RNA". Lineage: Bacteria; Bacillati; Bacillota; Clostridia; Eubacteriales; Eubacteriaceae. The record is from Rfam by way of RNAcentral.
UAGAGGAGGAAACAAAAUGAACGAAGUUCAUUUUUAUAAAUGUUUCCGACGAACUGCCGCCGACCAAGGGGAGGGGGCGCAACAAUAU